This 77-nucleotide microRNA precursor is filed under the name Drosophila willistoni. Its description in RNAcentral is "mir-932 microRNA precursor family". It matches the Rfam family "mir-932 microRNA precursor family". Lineage: Eukaryota; Metazoa; Arthropoda; Insecta; Diptera; Drosophilidae. The record is from Rfam by way of RNAcentral.
UGUAGCUAUCAAUUCCGUAGUGCAUUGCAGUUGGUACUAGAAAAUACUGCAAGCGCUGCGGACUUGCUAACUCUGAU